RNAcentral lists this ribosomal RNA (290 nucleotides) under Streptomyces albidoflavus. RNAcentral's name for it is "partial 16S ribosomal RNA". It matches the Rfam family "Bacterial small subunit ribosomal RNA", at positions 1 to 291 of the family's 1533-position model. Lineage: Bacteria; Bacillati; Actinomycetota; Actinomycetes; Kitasatosporales; Streptomycetaceae. The record is from RNAcentral.
CAUUCACGGAGAGUUUGAUCCUGGCUCAGGACGAACGCUGGCGGCGUGCUUAACACAUGCAAGUCGAACGAUGAACCGCUUUCGGGCGGGGAUUAGUGGCGAACGGGUGAGUAACACGUGGGCAAUCUGCCCUGCACUCUGGGACAAGCCCUGGAAACGGGGUCUAAUACCGGAUAUGACUGUCCAUCGCAUGGUGGAUGGUGUAAAGCUCCGGCGGUGCAGGAUGAGCCCGCGGCCUAUCAGCUUGUUGGUGAGGUAGUGGCUCACCAAGGCGACGACGGGUAGCCGGC